UACGUAGGGUGCGAGCGUUGUCCGGAAUUAUUGGGCGUAAAGAGCUCGUAGGCGGUGUGUCACGUCGGCCGUGAAAACCUGCAGCUUAACUGUGGGCGUGCGGUCGAUACGGGCAUCACUGGAGUUCGGCAGGGGAGACUGGAAUUCCUGGUGUAGCGGUGAAAUGCGCAGAUAUCAGGAGGAACACCAAUGGCGAAGGCAGCUCUCUGGGACGGUACUGACGCUGAGACGCGAAAGCGUGGGGAGCGAACAGG
Molecule: ribosomal RNA, 254 nt
Filed under: uncultured bacterium
Lineage: Bacteria
Description: partial 16S ribosomal RNA
Rfam family: Bacterial small subunit ribosomal RNA
Source: RNAcentral